GGCGAACGCUGGCGGCGUGCCUAAUACAUGCAAGUAGAACGCUGAAGAGAGGAGCUUGCUCUUCUUGGAUGAGUUGCGAACGGGUGAGUAACGCGUAGGUAACCUGCCUUGUAGCGGGGGAUAACUAUUGGAAACGAUAGCUAAUACCGCAUAACAAUGGAUGACACAUGUCAUUUAUUUGAAAGGGGCAAUUGCUCCACUACAAGAUGGACCUGCGUUGUAUUAGCUAGUAGGUGAGGUAAUGGCUCACCUAGGCGACGAUACAUAGCCGACCUGAGAGGGUGAUCGGCCACACUGGGACUGAGACACGGCCCAGACUCCUACGGGAGGCAGCAGUAGGGAAUCUUCGGCAAUGGGGGCAACCCUGACCGAGCAACGCCGCGUGAGUGAAGAAGGUUUUCGGAUCGUAAAGCUCUGUUGUAAGUCAAGAACGGGUGUGAGAGUGGAAAGUUCACACUGUGACGGUAGCCUACCAGAAAGGGACGGCUAACUACGUG
RNAcentral lists this ribosomal RNA (497 nucleotides) under uncultured bacterium. Its description in RNAcentral is "partial 16S ribosomal RNA". It matches the Rfam family "Bacterial small subunit ribosomal RNA", at positions 28 to 507 of the family's 1533-position model. The record is from RNAcentral.